GAUGAAGAACGCAGCGAAAUGCGAUAAGUAAUGUGAAUUGCAGAUUUCAGUGAAUCAUCGAAUCUUUGAACGCACCUUGCGCCUUGUGGUAUUCCACAAGGCAUGCCCGUUUGAGUAUCAUUAAAUCAUCAACUCUAAAACCUUUGUGGUUUUUUUUAGAGCUUGGUCUUGAGGGUUUUGCAGGCUUUUUUUUUUUCGAGUCUGCUCCCUUUAAAUGCAUUAGCGAGACUUCCCUAUGCUGAACCGUCUCUUUGACGUGAUAAUUAUCUGCGUCGAAUUUUGGUUCUCGUUGGGCUUGCUUCUAAUCGUCUGUUAAAGACAAAACGGAUUUGGGUGCAUAUAUGCGCCUUUUUCCAAAACCUUUUUUUGAUCUCAAAUCGGGUAGGACUACCCGCUGAACUUAAGCAUAUCAAUAAGCGGAGGA
Molecule: unclassified non-coding RNA, 424 nt
Filed under: soil metagenome
Description: partial contains 5.8S ribosomal RNA, internal transcribed spacer 2, and large subunit ribosomal RNA
Rfam family: 5.8S ribosomal RNA (bases 1-120)
Source: RNAcentral